Molecule: microRNA precursor, 101 nt
Filed under: Pelobates cultripes (western spadefoot toad)
Lineage: Eukaryota; Metazoa; Chordata; Amphibia; Anura; Pelobatidae
Source: RNAcentral
UGUUUGUAUAGUGUGUGUAUAUAAUGCAGUGUGUUUGUGUAGUGUGCAUUAUAUUGUGCACUACACAGACACACUGCAUUAUAUACACACACUAUGCAAAC